GACGAACGCUGGCGGCGUGCUUAACACAUGCAAGUCGAGCGGUAAGGCCCGUUUCGGGGGUACACGAGCGGCGAACGGGUGAGUAACACGUGGGUGACCUGCCCUCAGCUCUGGGAUAAGCCUGGGAAACCGGGCCUAAUACCGGAUAUGACUCCAUGACGCAUGUUGUGGGGUGGAAAGCCUUGUGCGGCUGAGGAUGGGCCCGCGGCCUAUCAGCUUGUUGGUGGGGUGAUGGCCUACCAAGGCGACGACGGGUAGCCGGCCUGAGAGGGCGACCGGCCACACUGGGACUGAGACACGGCCCAGACUCCUACGGGAGGCAGCAGGUGGGGAAUCUUGCGACAAGUGGGACGAAAGCCUGACGCAGCGACGCCGCGU
This 378-nucleotide ribosomal RNA is filed under the name uncultured bacterium. Its description in RNAcentral is "bacterial SSU rRNA". It matches the Rfam family "Bacterial small subunit ribosomal RNA", at positions 28 to 402 of the family's 1533-position model. The record is from RNAcentral.